UACAGGGGGUGCAAGCGUUACUCGGAAUCAUUGGGCGUAAAGAGCGUGUAGGCGGUUUGGUAAGUCGAAUGUGAAAGCCCCAGGCUUAAUCUGGGAAGUGCAUUCGAUACUGCUAGACUAGAGUACAGGAGAGGUGAACGGAAUUUCUGGUGUAGAGGUGAAAUUCGUAGAUAUCAGAAGGAACAACAGUGGCGAAGGCGGUUCACUGGACUGUAACUGACGCUUAGGCGCGAAAGCGUGGGGAGCAAACAGG
This 253-nucleotide ribosomal RNA is filed under the name uncultured prokaryote. Its description in RNAcentral is "partial 16S ribosomal RNA". It matches the Rfam family "Bacterial small subunit ribosomal RNA", at positions 524 to 776 of the family's 1533-position model. The record is from RNAcentral.